AUGCAGAAUGAAGAUGUAUUAGAUAUAUUGACUGUGCCUGCCGGACACGCACACGCACACGCACACGCACACGCACACGCACACGCACACCACACACACACACACACACUUCAGAAACAGACUGGCUGGUGCCUGUGGAGCCCCAGGGGUUGUUGCUGCCUAAAUGCCUGGACCUCCUCUCCUCUCCUCUUUGCUCAUCCGCCUCUCCUCUCUCCUCCUUUCCUUUCCUUUCCUCAUUUCCUUUUCUAUCCUCCUUUCCGCUCUCCUCCUCCUCUCCCAUCCUCUCCUUUCCUCUCCUCUCCUCUUCUCCUCCUCCUCUCUCCUCACUCAUGCUCUCCGCUCCUCCUCUACUCCUUUCUUCUGCUUUCCUCUCCACUCCUCCUCUCCUCCUUUCUUCUCCUUUCCUCUCCGCUUCUCCUCCUCUCCUCUCUCCCCUCCUCUCUCCUGCUCUACGCCCCUCCUCUUUCCUGCUAUACGCUCCUCCUCUCCCCUCCUCUCCUCACUCCUGUCCUCCAAUCAUCUUCUCCUCCUCUCUUCUCCUCCUCUCUCCUGUCCUCUCUCAUCCUACCCUCCUCUCCUCUCCUCUCUUCUCCUCCUGUCUCGUUCUCUCUCCUCCUCUCUCCUCCUCCUCUCCUCUGUCCUGCUCUACGCUCCUCCUCUCUCCUGCUCUACGCUCCUCCUCUCCCCUCCUCUCCUCUCUCCUGUCCUCCGCUCCUCCUCCUCUCCUAUCUCCUGUCCUCCUUUCCUCUCCACUCCUCACAUCCUCUCUCCUCCUCUCGGCUCCUCCUCUCCUCUCUUCUCCUCCUCUCUCCUGUCCUCUUUCCUCCUGUCCUCUAUCCUCCUCUCCUCCUUUCCUCUCCUCUCCUCCUCUCCUCUCCUCACCUCCUCUCUUCUCCUCCUGUCUCCUUCUCUCCCCUCCUCUCUCCUUCUCCUCUGCUCUCUUCUCUGCUCUCCCCUGCCCCUCCGUUCCUCUCCUCUGCUCUCCUCCUGUCCUCUCUCCUCCUCUCCUCAUUUUAG
RNAcentral lists this long non-coding RNA (1017 nucleotides) under Cottoperca gobio. Its description in RNAcentral is "lncRNA (ENSCGOG00000012668.1)". Lineage: Eukaryota; Metazoa; Chordata; Actinopteri; Perciformes; Bovichtidae. The record is from RNAcentral.